UGGGGAAUAUUGCACAAUGGGGGAAACCCUGAUGCAGCGACGCCGCGUGAGCGAUGAGGGCUUUCGAGUCGUAAAGCUCUGUCCUAUGGGAAGAUAAUGACGGUACCAUAGAAGAAAGCCCCGGCUAAUUACGUGCCAGCAGCCGCGGUAAUACGUAAGGGGCGAGCGUUGUCCGGAAUUAUUGGGCGUAAAGAGUGCGUAGGCGGCAAAUUAAGUCAGAUGUGAAAACUAAGGGCUCAACCCAUAGAUUGCAUCUGAAACUGAUAUGCUUGAGUCAAGGAGAGGAAAGUGGAAUUCCUAGUGUAGCGGUGGAAUGCGUAGAUAUUAGGAGGAAUACCGGUGGCGAAGGCGACUUUCUGGACUUGAACUGACGCUGAGGCACGAAAGCGUGGGGAGCAAACAGG
This 404-nucleotide ribosomal RNA is filed under the name Acidobacteriota bacterium. RNAcentral describes it as "Acidobacteria bacterium partial 16S ribosomal RNA". It matches the Rfam family "Bacterial small subunit ribosomal RNA", at positions 355 to 776 of the family's 1533-position model. Lineage: Bacteria; Pseudomonadati; Acidobacteriota. The record is from RNAcentral.